This 226-nucleotide long non-coding RNA is filed under the name Mytilus galloprovincialis (Mediterranean mussel). The record is from RNAcentral. Lineage: Eukaryota; Metazoa; Mollusca; Bivalvia; Mytilida; Mytilidae.
CUACAGGCAGAUAACUCUGUAAAAUUAGCAGAACGUUUUAAUGACAUUGUGUGCAUAAGGGAAUAUUAAGCUUCUCAAUGAUCAAAAUAAGUGUUUGUCAAACUGCUAUAUAACCAGUGUAAUUUUUCUGAUUAAACGGUUGGUUCAAAUAUUUUGAAAUUUUUAUAUUUUUGUCAAAGGGUCAAAGUAAAUACUUUGUCAAAAUUUAAAGGAAAUUAAACGAACC